Molecule: transfer RNA, 72 nt
Filed under: Camelus bactrianus (Bactrian camel)
Lineage: Eukaryota; Metazoa; Chordata; Mammalia; Artiodactyla; Camelidae
Also listed under: 1 other name
Rfam family: tRNA
About the family: Transfer RNA (tRNA) molecules are approximately 80 nucleotides in length.
Source: Rfam by way of RNAcentral
GAAGGUAUGGCUCAGUGGUAGAUUGUGUGCUUGGCAUGCAUGAGGUCCUGGGUUCAAUCCCCAGUACCUCCA